RNAcentral lists this ribosomal RNA (2988 nucleotides) under Paenibacillus larvae. RNAcentral describes it as "23S ribosomal RNA". It matches the Rfam family "Bacterial large subunit ribosomal RNA". The record is from RNAcentral. Lineage: Bacteria; Bacillati; Bacillota; Bacilli; Caryophanales; Paenibacillaceae.
GGUUAAGCUGGUAAGAGCACACGGAGGAUGCCUAGGCGCUAGGAGCCGAAGAAGGACGUGGCGAACAACGAUAUGCCCCGGGGAGUCGUAAGCAGACUUUGAUCCGGGGGAUGUCCGAAUGGGGGAACCCGGCUGCGGUUAUGCGCAGUCACUCACUUCUGAAUCCAUAGGAAGUGAAGAGGCAGACCAGGGGAACUGAAACAUCUAAGUACCCUGAGGAGAAGAAAACAAUCGUGAUUCCGUCAGUAGCGGCGAGCGAAAGCGGAGGAGCCCAAACCAGGAGAGCUUGCUCACUGGGGUUGUGGGACACCUUAUACGGAGUUACAAAGGAGCAGAUUAGGCGAAGAGGUCUGGAAAGGCCUGCCACAGAAGGUAACAGCCCUGUAGCUGAAAGUCUGCUCUCUCCAAGGUGGAUCCCGAGUACGGCGGGACACGGGAAACCCCGUCGGAAUCCGGCAGGACCAUCUGCCAAGGCUAAAUACUCCCUAGCGACCGAUAGUGAAGCAGUACCGUGAGGGAAAGGUGAAAAGCACCCCGGGAGGGGAGUGAAAGAGAACCUGAAAACCGUGUGUGCUUACAAGAAGUCAGAGCCCUAUGAUUUUCUUCGGGAAAUCAGGGUGAUGGCGUGCCUUUUGUAGAAUGAACCGGCGAGUUACGCUUGCAUGCAAGGUUAAGGUGAAGAGCCGGAGCCGCAGCGAAAGCGAGUCUGAACAGGGCAAAGCAUAAGCUUACGAAGUAGCAAUACUUUGUAUUGCUUGGAAGUAUGCAGGCGUAGACCCGAAACCGUGUGAUCUACCCUUGUCCAGGGUGAAAAGCGUGGAAAAACACUCACUGGAGGUCUGAACCCACGAAUGUUGAAAAAUUCGGGGAUGAGGUGGGGGUAGCGGAGAAAUUCCAAUCGAACUCGGAGAUAGCUGGUUCUCCUCGAAAUAGCUUUAGGGCUAGCCUCGGGUUAGAGUGAUGGAGGUAAAGCACUGAUUGGGUGCGGGGCCCGCCAAGGGUUACCAAGUCUAGUCAAACUCUGAAUGCCAUCCACUCGGUGCCCGGGAGUCAGACAGUGAGUAAGAUCCAUUGUCAAGAGGGAAACAGCCCAGAUCAUCAGCUAAGGUCCCCAAGUGUGUGUUAAGUGGGAAAGGAUGUGGAGUUGCACAGACAACCAGGAUGUUGGCUUAGAAGCAGCCACCAUUUAAAGAGUGCGUAAUAGCUCACUGGUCGAGGACUCUGCGCCGAAAAUGUAACGGGGCUAAAUACACCACCGAAGCUAUGGGUCCUAAUUAAGGGCAGUAGGGGAGCGUUCCAAGCAGCAUAGAAGGUUGACCGUGAGGACAGCUGGAGCGCUUGGAAGUGAGAAUGCCGGUAUGAGUAACGAAAAGAUCAGUGAGAAUCUGAUCCGCCGAAAGCCUAAGGGUUCCUGAGGAAGGUUCGUCCGCUCAGGGUAAGUCGGGACCUAAGGCGAGGCCGAAAGGCGUAGUCGAAGGACAACAGGCAGAAAUUCCUGUACCACCAAACACCGCUAUGAGCGAUGGGGUGACACAGUAGGGUAGGGACGCAAGCUGAUGGAAGUGCUUGUCCAAGCAGUGAGGCUGGUGUGCAGGCAAAUCCGCACACGAUGAAAGUCGGGCUGUGACGGGAGUGAAAAUAGCAGUAGCGAAGGUCUUGAUCUCACACUGUCAAGAAAAGCCUCUAGCCAGGUGCAGGUGCCCGUACCGCAAACCGACACAGGUAGGCGAGAAGAGAAUUCUAAGGCGCGCGGAAGAACUCUCGUUAAGGAACUCGGCAAAAUGACCCCGUAACUUAGGGAGAAGGGGUGCCCCGGUAGAGUGAAUAGCUCGAGGGGGCCGCAGUGAAUAGGCCCAAGCGACUGUUUAGCAAAAACACAGGUCUAUGCGAAGCCGCAAGGCGAAGUAUAUGGGCUGACGCCUGCCCGUGCCGGGAAGGUUAAGGGGAGGGUUAGGGCUUAAGGCCCGGAAGCUAUGAACCGAAGCCCCAGUAAACGGCGGCCGUAACUAUAACGGUCCUAAGGUAGCGAAAUUCCUUGUCAGGUAAAUUCUGACCCGCACGAAUGGCGUAACGACUUGGGCGCUGUCUCAACGAGAGAUCCGGUGAAAUUUUAAUACCUGUGAAGAUGCAGGUUACCCGCGACAAGACGGAAAGACCCCAUGGAGCUUUACUUUGCAGCUUGAUAUUGGACUUUGGUACGAUCUGUACAGGAUAGGUGGGAGCCUAAGAAGCCGGAGCGCCAGCUUCGGUGGAGGCAGCGUUGGGAUACCACUCUGAUCGUAUCGGAGUUCUAACCCGGGACCGUGAACCGGUUCGGGGACAGUGUCAGGUGGGCAGUUUGACUGGGGCGGUCGCCUCCUAAAGAGUAACGGAGGCGUCCCAAGGUUCCCCUCAGAAUGGUUGGAAAUCAUUCGAAGAGUGCAAAGGCAGAAGGGAGCUUGACUGCGAGACCUACAAGUCGAGCAGGGACGAAAGUCGGGCUUAGUGAUCCGGUGGUACCGCAUGGAAGGGCCAUCGCUCAACGGAUAAAAGCUACCCUGGGGAUAACAGGCUUAUCUCCCCCAAGAGUCCACAUCGACGGGGAGGUUUGGCACCUCGAUGUCGGCUCAUCGCAUCCUGGGGGCUGAAGUAGGUCCCAAGGGUUGGGCUGUUCGCCCAUUAAAGCGGUACGCGAGCUGGGUUCAGAACGUCGUGAGACAGUUCGGUCCCUAUCUGUCGUGGGCGCAGGAAAUUUGAGAGGAGCUGUCCUUAGUACGAGAGGAUCGGGAUGGACGUACUGCUGGUGUACCAGUUGUUCCGCCAGGAGCACAGCUGGGUAGCUAUGUACGGAAGGGAUAAGCGCUGAAAGCAUCUAAGCGUGAAGCCCGCCUCAAGAUGAGAUUUCCCAAGUAGUAAGACCCUUGAAGACGACGAGGUAGAUAGGUUGGGGGGUGGAAGCGCAGUAAUGCGUGGAGCUGACCAAUACUAAUCGGUCGAGGGCUUAUCCUA